UUUAAAUUUAUUUAUUAAUUAUAUAUAUAUAUAUAUAUAUAUAUAUAUAUAUAUAUAUAUUAAAAAUAGUUAUAAAAGUAAAUUUUUUAGUAUUAAUUUAAGAAAAAAUAUUAUUAAUUAUAGUUUAUUAGUAUUGAUAAAGAAAAAUGAAAUAAUAUGAAAAAUUUUAAUAAUAAAAGAAAAAUUAAUAAUUUGUACCUUGUGUAUCAGGGUUUAUUAAAUAAAAUUUAAUUAUAUUAAUUUUCUCGAUUUUAAAAGAUUUAAUAUAUUAGAAAAUAUAAAGUUAUAAAUUUAUUUUUAAUAAUAUAUUUGAAAUGAAAUGUUAUUCGUUUUUAAAGGUAUCUAGUUUAUUAAGAAAUAAAUUUAAUUUAUAAAUUUUAUAUUAUUUAUUUUAUUAUUUAAAUAAAUAAUUAUUUAAUUUAAGUAUUUUAUGGGAUAAGCUAUAAAAUAAAAUAUUAUAAAUAUAAUUAAUUUAAUAAAAUAUAGGGUUAAAAUUAUUCAAUAUUAGAGAAAAUGUAAUAAUUUAUUAUUAAAUUAAUAAUAAUUUAUUUAAUUUUAAUUAUUUAUUAAUAUAUAUUUUAUAAUUAAAUAAAAUUAAAGAUAAUGAUAAAAUUAGUAUAAAUUUUUAUAUUAAUAUAAUUAUUUAAUAAAUUUUAUUAAAGAAUUCGGCAAAUUUUAUAUUCACCUGUUUAACAAAAACAUCUCUUUAUGAUUAAAUAUAAGGUUUAACCUGCCCACUGAAUUAUUUUAAAUGGCUGCAGUAUAUUGACUGUACAAAGGUAGCAUAAUCAUUAGUUUUUUAAUUGAAAACUGGAAUGAAUGGUUGGAUGAAAUAUAAACUGUUUCAGUAAAAAUAUAUUAGAAUUUUAUUUUUUAGUAAAAAAGCUAAAAUAAAUUUAAAAGACGAGAAGACCCUAUAAAUCUUUAUAUAAAAUAUAAAUAUUAAAUUAUUUAGAAGAUUAUAAAAUAUUUAUGUUUUAUAUUUUAUUGGGGAGAUAGUAAAAUUUAUAAAACUUUUAUUUAUUAAAUUCAUUAAUUUAUGAAUUUUUGAUUAAUUUUUAAUGCAUAAAAAAAUAAGUUACUUUAGGGAUAACAGCGUAAUUAUUUUGGAGAGUUCAUAUUGAUAAAAUAGA
RNAcentral lists this ribosomal RNA (1133 nucleotides) under Nycteribia allotopa. RNAcentral's name for it is "partial 16S ribosomal RNA". Lineage: Eukaryota; Metazoa; Arthropoda; Insecta; Diptera; Nycteribiidae. The record is from RNAcentral.